Armigeres subalbatus is the source of this 352-nucleotide long non-coding RNA. RefSeq lists it as uncharacterized. The transcript is spliced from 3 exons. NCBI's taxonomy places the organism in Eukaryota, Metazoa, Arthropoda, Insecta, Diptera, Culicidae. The record is from RefSeq and is a predicted model, not a curated record.
CUGCGAGCAUGGAAAAACAAAUAUCGUGCUCAAUAAUUUAGUUGUUUAAGUUUAAAUGCUGUUUUUGUGCCUUUUUGCCGAAUAGGAAACAAAUCAUUUCACGGAAGUUACUGCUGAGUGUGAACCGCAGAAAACAAAUAGGAUGCUCCUGAGCGGAGAAAAAAUGAUCAACGAAAAGUUUUCAAUAAAUUGGAGACAAAUGUACCCACGGCAAACCGGCAAACUGCAGAUACAUCAUCCUCCGGCAUUUGAAAGAGUCGACAAGUGCAGCAAUUCGUGCGGGUGUGGAGUAGCGCAAGAGUGGCAUAAAUCUGCCAGACACUAUCAGUUUCGAACGAACCGAAAAUUCCAC